RNAcentral lists this ribosomal RNA (820 nucleotides) under uncultured Geobacter sp. Its description in RNAcentral is "bacterial SSU rRNA". It matches the Rfam family "Bacterial small subunit ribosomal RNA", at positions 37 to 839 of the family's 1533-position model. Lineage: Bacteria; Pseudomonadati; Thermodesulfobacteriota; Desulfuromonadia; Geobacterales; Geobacteraceae. The record is from RNAcentral.
CAGGGGGGUGCUACCAUGCAAGUCGAACGUGAUCCGCCCUUCGGGGUGGUGAAAGUGGCGCACGGGUGAGUAACGCGUGGAUAAUCUGCCCGAGGAUUUGGGAUAACAUCUCGAAAGGGGUGCUAAUACCGAAUAAGCCCACGGGGUCUACGGAUCUUGCGGGAAAAGGGGGGGACCUUCGGGCCUCCUGUCCUUGGAUGAGUCUGCGUACCAUUAGCUAGUUGGUGGGGUAAUGGCCUACCAAGGCGACGAUGGUUAGCUGGUCUGAGAGGAUGAUCAGCCACACUGGAACUGAGACACGGUCCAGACUCCUACGGGAGGCAGCAGUGGGGAAUUUUGCGCAAUGGGGGAAACCCUGACGCAGCAACGCCGCGUGGGUGAUGAAGGCCUUCGGGUCGUAAAGCUCUGUCUGGAGGGAAGAAAUGAUUGGGAGCUAAUACCUCUUGAUCUUGACGGUACCUCUGAAGGAAGCACCGGCUAACUCCGUGCCAGCAGCCGCGGUAAUACGGAGGGUGCAAGCGUUGUUCGGAAUUAUUGGGCGUAAAGCGCGUGUAGGCGGUCUUUUAAGUCUGAUGUGAAAGCCCCGGGCUCAACCUGGGAAGUGCAUUGGAAACUGGGAGGCUUGAGUACGGGAGAGGAGAGUGGAAUUCCUAGUGUAGGAGUGAAAUCCGUAGAUAUUAGGAGGAACACCGGUGGCGAAGGCGGCUCUCUGGACCGAUACUGACGCUGAGACGCGAAAGCGUGGGUAGCAAACAGGAUUAGAUACCCUGGUAGUCCACGCCGUAAACGAUGAGUACUAGGUGUUGCGGGUAUUGACCCC